GAUGAAGAACGUAGCGAAAUGCGAUAAGUAAUGUGAAUUGCAGAAUUCAGUGAAUCAUCGAAUCUUUGAACGCACAUUGCGCCCGCCAGCACUCUGGUGGGCAUGCCUGUUCGAGCGUCAUUUCAACCAUCAAGCCCCCAGGGGCUUGUGCUGGGGCCCUGCGGCUGCCCGCAGGCCCUGAAAACCAGUGGCGGGCUCGCUAGUCACACCGAGCGCAGUAGCACAUCUCGCUCAGGGCGUGCGGCGGGCUCCUGCCGUGAAACCCCCCACUGUAACCCCAAAGGUUGACCUCGGAUCAGGUAGGAAUACCCGCUGAACUUAAGCAUAUCAAUAAGCGGAGGA
This 342-nucleotide unclassified non-coding RNA is filed under the name soil metagenome. Its description in RNAcentral is "partial contains 5.8S ribosomal RNA, internal transcribed spacer 2, and large subunit ribosomal RNA". The stretch from base 1 to 120 matches the Rfam family "5.8S ribosomal RNA", at positions 35 to 154 of the family's 154-position model. The record is from RNAcentral.